GUGCCGGCGAUGCGCAAAGAACGCGACUGGCUGCGAGAGGUUUUAUUUUGUUUAUUUCUGCUCUUCCUUCCCCUCCCUCUCCCACUUUAGCCCAGGAACUCCCGCAGCAUUGGUUAAUCCUCCAGGAGGGAUAACUGCUGAGAUCUUCAGCGAGCUCUCCGCUACCACGGAUACUUCCUGGAGCUCCAGCAGCUCUGUGAGGGAUGUGCAGCUACAAGAUCUGAAGGUCCUGCAGGCAGAUCCCCAAGCAGAGAGGACCCACCCGGGUGGAUCCCACCACCCCAAGGCUGGUCCCUUCCAUCCAGGCUCUCUACCAUUUCCCAUCACUUUUGGGGAGGGCUGGAGCUCCUGCCUGAGCAGCUUCGUGCAGAAAUGAACUUUGGCUGGACACAAACAGCACAUAAAGAGGGAAGCCAGAUGAAAACUGAUGCAGGCCUCGGUUUCUUUGGAGUGUAAUAGCUGUGAAAUUUAAACAUGAAAUAAACUAAGAGAAGAAACCCUUAUGCUCGGUGUACCAGCACAGAAGGGAAGCUGGCCAGGCUGACAUCACAAACCCAGAAAACAAGAAUUUGGGGGGAAUUUCCAUUAAUUCCUUAGUGCAUCCUGGUUAGUAGCAGUGCCAAAAGGUGUUGGUGACCUGCAGUGCUCCAUGCCAGUGAUCUGCUGAAAGCCUUUUAUAGGACUCUUGGACAGUUUAUAGACAGCAGCUGACACCUGUAAAAUUCACCUGGAGCUAUUCAGCAGUUUUAAACACCUCGAUGCAAUUUAUCCAGAACUCCUCAUGCACAAAAAAAAGGCAAAAAUUGAUUGGAGUGGCCGAGGAACUCUUCUGUCCUGUCUUUAAAAAGUGGAUAUAAAGCUGUCAGCUUUUACAGCUGCCCUCACUCUGCUUCAAUUAAGCAGAGCUUUGGAGGGGAGAUUCCUUUCCCAGCUUGGAGUCCUGAUGCUCCUGGAGGCUGGUCCAGUGCAGGGAUGGGGUGUGAGGCAGCUUCUGCAGCAGCAACUUCUUCUGCAGCAGCAGCAGCAGCAGCAUCUGCAUCACCUGCAUCUGCAUCAUCUGCGUGUGCAUCCCCUGCAUCAUCUGCAUCUUCUGCAUGUGCAUCCCUUCCUGAGGAAGGUACCGACCCCUCAGCUAUGCUGGGUUUCAGUUUUACUAAUAAAUUCAAAUUAGAAAAAGAAUAGAAAUAGAAGAGGGAAAAAAAUUCUGAUUUUAUGGCUUUGAGAGCUUUGGCAGUGCCAGGCUGCUCACCCAGGGCUCUGCCCAGCCCAGGUCCAGGUGAUCCAGGCAGGGCUUGGUGCCUUCCCAAGGCUCCUGCUCACAUUCCUCCAGGCACCUGGGUUUGAGCAUCCUAAAACUUCUUUUGGCAUAAUACUCAAAGGGACAAAAAAUAUGAUGUGCAAGGUGCUCUUUAUUUGUCCCUGGGCAUCCUGGAGCAGAGGAGGCUCAGGGGGCCCUUGUGGCUCUGCACAGCUCCUGCCAGGAGGGGACAGCUGGGGGGUCGGGCUGUGCUCCAGGGAACAGGGACAGGAGCAGAGGGAACGGCCUCAGGCUGGGCCAGGGCAGGCUCAGGGUGGGCACAGCAGGAAUUCCCCCAUGGAAAGGGGGCUCAGGCACUGGCACUGCCCAGGGAGAGUGGCAGUGCCCAUCCCUGCAGGUGUCCCCUGCAGGUGGCACUCAGAGCUCUGGGCUGGGGAUGGGCACAGCUGGGACUUGGUGACCCUGGAGUUGUUUUCCAGCCUGAAGGAUUCUGGGGUUUCUCCCUCAAAGCUGAUAUUUCCAAACCACCCCAAAUAUUCAACAAGGCCAGAAAUGAUGCAUUUGACUCCCUGGAAGCUGAGAGCUCCUGCAAAUCCCGGGCUGGUCCCACCCCUCACACCGUGCCAGGUGUGAUCACCUGCACCCCCUCCCCUCCCUGGCUGCUCAUCACUCUCAGAUGGAAGCAGGCAGUGAUCUGCACUCCCUCAAGCCUCAUUGCCAGGAGCAGCAUGGAUUUCCCAGCCAUUUUCCUGUAUGGAUAUGGCAGGAAUUGUGUGCAAUAUUCCAGAAGGGCUCCAGCAGUGGCUCACAGGGAACAUUCCAGCAUUAACCACCUCUCACCUCGCCCAUACCCUGCUCUGCUCCUCCCAGCAGCAGCACAAGGAGCAGCUGAUUUCCUGUUUAAUGCCCAGAAUCACUUGUUACACACAGCAGCACACUUCCUUCCAGGGCUCCAGUCCUGGAGCUGCCCUUUCCACAGGUUUGGGAUGGCUUCAGCCAGUCCCUACAAAGCACUGAGCCCCCAGACCCAGUCCCUGGAAUAAAACAGCCCAAGGCCUCCACCAAACCCUCUCUGGGUGUGGACACAACUUGGAACACUGAUUUUAAAAAGCAAACCUUCACUGUUUGGUGCUGGAGCUCGUGCUCUGACUGCCCUGGCCAGUGGGAUUUGCUGCUCUGGGAAUUCCUCGUGGAUUUUGGAUCCAAACACAACCAGAGGAGCUGCUGAGUGCCCCAGCUUGGAAGGAGGAGGUCCCAGCUUAGAAGGAGCAAUACUUCAAUCAAAGGCUGAAAUCACUCAAUUUAUUCAUUUCAGAGGACUCUGCAUGAGCCCCCUGAGUGCCCUGAGCACAAGGCUGGGAGCCAGGACCCCCAGCCCACCUGGGACCCACCAAGGGGAUCAGAAGGGACCUUCCUGCCCCUGGAACUCCCUGCAAGGAGGGUCUGGGUGGGCUUUGGUCUCUUCUCCCGAGACAGGACAUGAGGAAACGGCCUCAAGUUGUACCAGGGCAAGUUUAAAUCAAAUAUUGGGAAAAUUCCUCCUUGUGCAGCCCUGGCACAGCUGCCCAGGGCAGGGCUGGGGUCCCCAUCCCUGGGGGAUUUCACAGCCCUGUGGAAGUGGCACCUGGGGACAGGGUCAGUGAGGCUCCAUGACCCAGCUGGGCUUUCCCAGCCUGGCCAGUUCUGGGAUCCUGUGGCUCUCUGUGUCCCCAGCUGUGCAGCACCCACACAACUCCCCCCAAAAUCCCCCCCUGGGGGUGCAGGGGUCAGGAACAGCCAGGUUUGGGUUCCCUCAGUGGCCAGGUGCUGCUCAUGGCUGCCAGGAGGAGCAGGCUUGCCCAGCUGGGGACAGCAAUCCCAGCCAGGACUCAUCUGGGGGCUCCUGCCUGGCCAAGGCUCCUUGGGAUUGCCCCAGGGGGGCUGCUCCUGCUGGGGGCUGUUCCCUGGUGCACAGGAGGGGCUGUGCAGAAGCUCCUGGGUGGGAGGAUCCAGGCCUGGUGGCUCAGGAAGGGUUUCCCUGUCCUGGGGGUGUCAGAGGAUCUGCUGGGCUCCUCCCAGUAAGGGAAACACUGGAGCAUCACCUUGGCUGGUUUGAACUCACCACAGCCUCUGAGCUCUGUGCUGUGUGCAGGGAUUCUGAUUUGGGGUUCAUCUGAGGGGUGGCAGUUUGGGCAGGGUGGGUUUAUCCCUCCCAUCCCUUCCCUGGAGCUGCUGGGAGCUCAGCCUGGGAGCAGCCUGAACCUCUGGGUGCUCGGGGGUGGGGGAGACCCUUUUUUGGGAGGAGUGGGGGAGCACCUGCAGCUUCAUGGCCCAGGUGAUGUGGGCAGCUCGAUGUGAGUGUCUGAGAGCAUUAAAAAUCUCUUUAAUUUGGAUUUCA
This is a long non-coding RNA of Haemorhous mexicanus (house finch), 3635 nucleotides long. RefSeq lists it as uncharacterized. NCBI's taxonomy places the organism in Eukaryota, Metazoa, Chordata, Aves, Passeriformes, Fringillidae. The transcript is spliced from 5 exons. The record is from RefSeq and is a predicted model, not a curated record.